RNAcentral lists this long non-coding RNA (231 nucleotides) under Mytilus galloprovincialis (Mediterranean mussel). The record is from RNAcentral. Lineage: Eukaryota; Metazoa; Mollusca; Bivalvia; Mytilida; Mytilidae.
AAAAUUUUUAAUUUUUAUCAGAAAAAAAAAUUAAAGAAAAAAAUUGCUGCAGACUCACAUAACAGAGGGCCUUCUUAUCUUGAAUAUAUAUGGGAAUUUUUCACUGGAUUCCUCUACUAGAGAGAAAUAUAUUUGUCCAAAGAAUAGGGACAAUCUUCGGAUUUAUAGGAGAUGCCAGUCAACAUUCCAUCCAACAAAUAGCCAUGCUAAAGUUGAAAGAGGUAUCCAGGC